Columba livia (rock pigeon) is the source of this 3724-nucleotide long non-coding RNA. RefSeq lists it as uncharacterized. The transcript has 2 exons. The record is from RefSeq and is a predicted model, not a curated record. Lineage: Eukaryota; Metazoa; Chordata; Aves; Columbiformes; Columbidae.
UUCUCUGCAGACAUUCAAACCCACCUGGACACCUUCCUGUGUAACCUCAUCUGGGUGUUCCUGCUCCAGCAGGGGGAUUGGACUGGAUGAGCUUUCCAGGUCCCUUCCAGUCUCUAACAUUCUGGGAUUCUGAGCAAACUGACCUAAGUUGGCCCUACUUUGUGGCAAGAGAUGCACAAGAGGCCUCCAGACAUCCCUUCUGACCUAAACAACUCUGUGAUUCUGUAACUUAAAAGCUUGUUUCUGAACAACCUGGCCAGGCUCCAGUGAGCUGUUGUCUGCUCUUGAAAGUGUUGCCUACUUGGCCAGAAAGCUCUCCAGGUUAGGGACUAUUUCCCCGUGCAUGUAUGAGUGGCUGCUUUUCUCAGCCACAUCCUCAAGGCCUUGCCUCAAUAAUAAUAAUAAAAUGAAAGGGAAGAACACUCUGUUUAUCACUUCUCAUCUUGUCGGGCAUUGGAACAGGCUGCCCGGGGAAAUGGCUGAAUCAUAGUCCCUAGAGGUGUUUAAAAGAUGUGUAGAUGAGGUUCUUAGGGACAUGGUUUAGUGCCAGUGUUGAGUUAAUGGUUGAACUCGAAGAUCUUGAAGGUCUUUUCCAACCAAAAUGAUUCUGUGAUUCUAUAUGACCCUUUUUUUUUUUUUUUUUACAGCAGACUCUAGUGUUUCAAGAUUUCAGGGUGAUGAAAACAAGUCCAAUACAUGCCGAACAUGGACCUCCAUGCGCGCACAUGAGAUUCCAGCCUUCGUCACUCUGCAAUGGCACACAUGGCAGUGCUUGCAAAUGAUGGGCAGUGCAAAAUCUGAACCAUUUGAAAAUAUAUCUCCAAACCACCCCAAACUGACUGAGGCCACCAGCAAAAUUACAGGUUUUUAUGCUGCCACGUAUUUUUCAAAGAGGAAACCCAGCUCAGACCCAAGAGGAACCCAGGUUCAGACCCCCAGCUCUGCAACACUGCUUAAGAGCAACGUUGCCUCUUGAGGAGUGGAGGAUGGACAGCUGUCCUGCUGUCCUGGUCACCAUCCAGACUUCUCUUAUGAGAUUACAUGCUUCUUUAUAUCCCCAUAGGGAUUAGGCUGCUAUGGAAUGUAAGGAAGUGUGUGGUUUCAGGGAGACAUCGCCAGUGUUCUCUGCUUCCAGCUACUGCAAGACAAAUGCUUUUCUGUAAUUGCAUUUUACUGGAAUUUGACUUUGUCAAAUGCAGUCAGGCAGGUUAUAUUCAGUCUACAGUGGCCUCGGUGCCCACGGAAACCACAUAAGGAUCUGCAAGUCUAAAAAGGAUGCAAACUCCUGGAUCCAUGCAAAUUUGAUAACAAAGAUGUACUCCGCAUAUAUUUCUCCAGAAAAAUCACCCAUCUGAUUAUAAGCUCCACCUAAACAAAAGUUUAUUUACACUGUCCUGAAAAUGGUUUUCAAGGGCAUUCUGAAAAUCACUACAUCGCAGAUAGCCUCAAUUAUUGUCAUCCAUUCUGCGUUGGUGGAAAACGCUUCUGAUUUAGUGACAUGGAGAAAGAAGUAAACAGCACUGGGCAGGAACGGCUUGCAAAGAGCAAGACUGAAUGUGAUCUAGAUCUCAUAUCAGUUGCAAAACUCUCCUCUUUACUCACAGUAAAGUGCAAUGAAGCCAAGCAACUUAUGUGGUCAGGAGCUAUGCUCUGCUCUGGCUGGUCAAACGGAACCAAGCCCAUCUUCCUCGGAGGUUUGGUCCCCUUCAACCAGCUAUAGCAGUGUUGAAAACAUCAAGCCAGGAAGAUGUGCCUCCCUACACCUCAGCUCUACCCCAUCCAUUCCUCCUGGAGCGAUCUGCUGCCCCUCUGAACAUCUCCAGAGGAUCAUCUGAGGACGAACCACCUGAAAAGGUUUGAAAUAUGUUUUUGGUUUUAAUAAGCAUCACUGUAAGGGUGCUUGCCCUUGCAAGGACACGUACGUGUGCCUACUCCAGCAUUACGACAGGCCCAAAAUGUAGCAUACAAGGCUUGCUGGCUCUGUAGUAUUCAGCAGGUUUCUAAGUCAAUGUGGAUCUGCAGGGCCUUGACAUACAAUCUUUUUUGUUUCCCUUCCCUACCAAAUGUCUAUCCACACACCCCCUUUGCUGAGCAUUGCCAGUCCCAGUAAUUUGUAUUUAAUUUUUUUUUAAAAGUGAUCAAGAACAAGAAUAACAUUUCAUUGAAAGCACACUGUGUCAACGUGUCUUUUUAAUUAUUUUUUAAUGCAAAAAGGUGCUACAAAUAACCAUGUUCUACAGGGUGAAGGUUAGCCCAUAGCCACUUAGCCCACAACACACACACAUCACUUCAUACAUCUUCGUGCAAGGUAUCUUCUGAAUCUUCCCAUCCACACCACACUGCAGCAAAUGAAGAAAACCAGCCAAAUAAUUUGAACAUGGCUUUGCUGACAGGCCCUGACCUGUUUCCUGAGCCAGUCAAUGAAUUUAGAUGCCUAACUUUAGACAUACACCUCAGCAAGUUGUUCUCUGUCCCCGCCUGAGCAAAAAGAAGUGCAAAGCUAUCAAUAAAUAAAUGAACAAACAUAUAUCAAUGUAAGUUCAUUAUGUUCACUAUCUGGGAUGCCCUGAUAUUUUGCUGGAUGGAUGGGGUGGAGAAUGUUGUGCAGAACAUCAGUGGAAUGGAUGCUGUACAGAACAAGGACCAGCAUCAGUGUGUCCCGAUCAAUGUGUCUUCUACAGGACAGUGAUGCUCCAUGGAGUGUCACAUGCUCCCCAUCCCUGCAUUUUCACUAUGGAGAUGCACUGGGGCACAACUUCAUUUUUGCCAGGUCUCCAUGGACAACGUUCUUUGGAAGAUGCAGACACACAGGUUGACAGCACACAAAGUGCCAGUCUGGCCAGGAUCUGUGUGACAGACAGAACAAAGGACACCAGCUAUUAGGUCCCCAUCUCAUGUCAUUGGGGUUUUCUAAAAGACAAGUAACAUGGGUUUGCUGGCACUACUGAAUCUAAAAGGUGCAGUAAAUUCAGGUCAAAAAACAAAUUUUUCCAAUAUACUCAAGUUUUUCUCUCAUGCCAAAUACACAACUCGUAAUGAACAAGGACUGUGUCAUCACUGACAGCUCAUGGAUCUUAACCACCGCAUGAGCAGAGAUGCCACAUGUCAGAGUCCUAAAUCCCCAGAGGUCUCUUAGUACUUCAGGCAAAAUGCUCCCAGUUUGAAACAGCUCCUGGAGAUGAGUCAAAAGGGGAUUUCUUUUUAACAUCUCAUAUCUUCACUGCAUCUCCACUCUACACAGCUUGGGUUUUCUCAGCCUCAGCACUGCCCUGCAGCAACACCACAUCUAUGCAAGGUCCACCUGCAUGGUACAGCACUGGGGUUUGCAGCGAGAGCAUCCUAACACAGUGGGCAAAGAGAACAUUAAGAUACACAAUCCUCAGCUUUUCUGGCUCCCUUUUUCGUGGCAGGAAAUGUUGUCUGGAAAUACGGUCCAACAAAAAUAAAAACCAGCCCGAACUGAAGAUCCAACAGUUCCAGCAUGGUACUUAGGAGCUGUAUCUCUGCUAGAGAAAUCACAGAAUCCCAAAAUGUCAUGGGUUGAAAGGGACAUGGAAAGCUCAUUCAGUGCAAUCCCCCCGUCGGAGCAGGAACACCCAGAUGAGGUUACACAGGAAGGUGUCCAGGUGGGCUGGAAUGUCUGCACAGAAGGAGACUCCACAACCCCCCUGGGCAGCCUGGGCCAGGCUCUGACACCCUCACCGGAAAGAAAUUUCUUCUCAUA